UCCGUAGGUCGAAAAUUAAGUCAGAGGUGAAAUCCUGCAGCUCAACUGUAGAAUUGCCUUUGAUACUGGUUAUCUUGAGUCAUUAUGAAGUGGUUAGAAUGUGUAGUGUAGCGGUGAAAUGCAUAGAUAUUACACAGAAUACCGAUUGCGAAGGCAGAUCACUAAUAAUGUACUGACACUGAGGGACGAAAGCGUGGUGAGCGAACAGGAUUAGAUACCCUGGUAGUCC
This 229-nucleotide ribosomal RNA is filed under the name uncultured bacterium. RNAcentral's name for it is "partial 16S ribosomal RNA". It matches the Rfam family "Bacterial small subunit ribosomal RNA", at positions 568 to 796 of the family's 1533-position model. The record is from RNAcentral.